GACGAACGCUGGCGGCGUGGAUUAGGCAUGCAAGUCGAACGGUAUCAUCCUUCGGGGGUGAGAGAGUGGCGAACUGGUGAGUAACACGUAGGUUAUCUACCCUCAAGACGGGACAACCCAGGGAAACUUGGGCUAAUACCGGAUGUGAGCAACUUUUAGUUGUUUGAAAGGUGGCGUAAGCUGUCGCUUGGGGAUGAGCCUGCGUCCUAUUAGUUAGUUGGUGAGGUAACGGCUCACCUAGGCAAUGAUAGGUAGGCGGCCUUAACGGGUGGUCGCCCACACUGGGAUUGAGAUACGGCCCAGACUCCUACGGGAGGCAGCAGUCGAGAAUAGUCUACAAUGGUCGGAAGACUGAUAGUGCGACGCCGCGUGAACGAUGAAUCCCUUCGGGGUGUAAAGUUCUUUUAUAUGUGAGCAGUGCUUCUUAUAUUAACAGUAUGGGGAGAGAGAUAUUAGCAUAUGAAUAAGCAACGGCUAACUCUGUG
This 485-nucleotide ribosomal RNA is filed under the name uncultured bacterium. RNAcentral describes it as "bacterial SSU rRNA". It matches the Rfam family "Bacterial small subunit ribosomal RNA", at positions 28 to 507 of the family's 1533-position model. The record is from RNAcentral.